This 468-nucleotide ribosomal RNA is filed under the name uncultured bacterium. Its description in RNAcentral is "partial 16S ribosomal RNA". It matches the Rfam family "Bacterial small subunit ribosomal RNA", at positions 28 to 507 of the family's 1533-position model. The record is from RNAcentral.
GACGAACGCUGGCGGCGUGCUUAACACAUGCAAGUCGAACGGAAAGGCCCUGCUUUUGUGGGGUGCUCGAGUGGCGAACGGGUGAGUAACACGUGAGUAACCUGCCCUUGACUUUGGGAUAACUUCAGGAAACUGGGGCUAAUACCGGAUAGGAGCUCCUGCUGCAUGGGGGGGGUUGGAAAGUUUCGGCGGUUGGGGCUGGACUCGCGGCUUAUCAGCUUGUUGGUGGGGUAGUGGCUUACCAAGGCUUUGACGGGUAGCCGGCCUGAGAGGGUGACCGGGCACCAUGGGACUGAGAUACGGCCCAGACUCCUACGGGAGGCAGCAGGGGGGAAUAUGGCACAAUGGGCGGAAGUCUGAUGCAGCAACGCCGCGUGCGGGAAGACGGCCUUCUGGGUGUAAACCGCUUUCGCCUGUGACGAAGCGUGAGUGACGGUAAUGGGUAAAGAAGCACCGGCUAACUACGUG